UACGUAGGGGGCCAGCGUUGUCCGGAAUCAUUGGGCGUAAAGCGCGCGUAGGCGGCCAGAUAAGUCCGGUGUGAAAGUCAAAGGCUCAACCUUUGAAUGCCGCUGGAAACUGUCUGGCUUGAGUCCGGGAGGGGCGAGUGGAAUUCCUGGUGUAGCGGUGAAAUGCGCAGAUAUCAGGAGGAACACCGAUGGCGAAGGCAGGUCUCUGGGCCACUACUGACGCUGAGAAGCGAAAGCAUGGGGAGCGAACAGG
Molecule: ribosomal RNA, 253 nt
Filed under: uncultured bacterium
Lineage: Bacteria
Description: partial 16S ribosomal RNA
Rfam family: Bacterial small subunit ribosomal RNA
Source: RNAcentral